Molecule: non-coding RNA, 156 nt
Filed under: Apaloderma vittatum (bar-tailed trogon)
Lineage: Eukaryota; Metazoa; Chordata; Aves; Trogoniformes; Trogonidae
Description: Eukaryotic large subunit ribosomal RNA
Rfam family: Eukaryotic large subunit ribosomal RNA
Source: Rfam by way of RNAcentral
GAUAACUGAGCUUGUGGCAGCCAAGCGUUCAUAUCGCUGUCGCUUUUUGAUCCUUCCAUGUCAGCUCUUCCUAUUGUUGUGAAGCAGAACUCACCAAGCAUUGGGCUGUUCACUCGCUAAUUGGGAACCUGCAUUUAGACCAUCGUGAGACAGGUC